Molecule: transfer RNA, 77 nt
Filed under: marine sediment metagenome
Description: tRNA-Phe
Rfam family: tRNA
About the family: Transfer RNA (tRNA) molecules are approximately 80 nucleotides in length. Their secondary structure includes four short double-helical elements and three loops (D, anti-codon, and T loops).
Source: RNAcentral
GGUCGAGUAGCUCAGUUGGUAGUAGCACUAGACUGAAAAUCUAGGUGUCACUGGUUCAAUUCCGGUCUCGACCACCA